GCCUGGCCCUAAAUCUUGAUGCUCUACAUUACCUGAGCGUCCGCCCGAGAACUACGAGCACAAACGCUUAAAACUCUAAGGACUUGGCGGUGCCCCAAACCCACCUAGAGGAGCCUGUUCUGUAAUCGAUAAUCCACGAUACUACCUGACCAUUCCUUGCACGAAUCAGCCUACAUACCGCCGUCGCCUGCCCACCUUUCCUAGCAGCCCAACAGUGAGCGCAAUAGCCUAACCCGCUAGUAAGACAGGUCAAGGUAUAGCCUAUGGAAUGGAAGCAAUGGGCUACAUUUUCUAAGCUAGAACAUACGGAUAGGGAUAUGAAACUGUCCCUGGAAGGCGGAUUUAGCAGUAAAGAGGGACAAUGGAGCCCUCUUUAAGCCGGCUCUGGAGCACGU
Molecule: ribosomal RNA, 395 nt
Filed under: Catharus ustulatus (Swainson's thrush)
Lineage: Eukaryota; Metazoa; Chordata; Aves; Passeriformes; Turdidae
Description: partial 12S ribosomal RNA
Rfam family: Bacterial small subunit ribosomal RNA
Source: RNAcentral